UACAGAGGGUGCGAGCGUUAAUCGGAUUUACUGGGCGUAAAGCGUGCGCAGGCGGCUUUGCAAGACAGAUGUGAAAUCCCCGGGCUCAACCUGGGAACUGCAUUUGUGACUGCAAGGCUGGAGUACGGCAGAGGGGGAUGGAAUUCCGCGUGUAGCAGUGAAAUGCGUAGAUAUCUGGAGGAACACCGGUGGCGAAGGCGGCAUCCUGGACCGAGACUGACACUGAGGAGCGAAAGCCAGGGGAGCAAACGGG
Molecule: ribosomal RNA, 253 nt
Filed under: uncultured bacterium
Lineage: Bacteria
Description: partial 16S ribosomal RNA
Rfam family: Bacterial small subunit ribosomal RNA
Source: RNAcentral